Molecule: ribosomal RNA, 468 nt
Filed under: uncultured bacterium
Lineage: Bacteria
Description: partial 16S ribosomal RNA
Rfam family: Bacterial small subunit ribosomal RNA
Source: RNAcentral
GACGAACGCUGGCGGCGUGCUUAACACAUGCAAGUCGAACGGUGAAGCUCCAGCUUGCUGGAGUGGAUCAGUGGCGAACGGGUGAGUAACACGUGAGCAACCUGCCCCUGACUCUGGAAUAAGCGCUGGAAACGGCGUCUAAUACUGGAUACGAGAAGGGUCCGCAUGGGCACUUUCUGGAAAGUUUUUCGGUUGGGGAUGGGCUCGCGGCCUAUCAGCUUGUUGGUGAGGUAAUGGCUCACCAAGGCGGCGACGGGUAGCCGGCCUGGGAGGGCGACCGGCCACACUGGGACUGAGGCACGGCCCAGACUCCUACGGGAGGCAGCAGUGGGGAAUAUUGCACAAUGGGCGAAAGCCUGAUGCAGCGGCGCCGGGUGAGGGAUGACGGCCUUCGGGGUGUAAACCUCUUUCAGCAGGGAAGAAGCGAAAGUGACGGUACCUGCAGAAGAAGCACCGGCUAACUACGUG